This 521-nucleotide ribosomal RNA is filed under the name uncultured bacterium. RNAcentral describes it as "bacterial SSU rRNA". It matches the Rfam family "Bacterial small subunit ribosomal RNA", at positions 355 to 874 of the family's 1533-position model. The record is from RNAcentral.
UAAGGAAUAUUCCACAAUGGGCGAAAGCCUGAUGGAGCGACGCCGCGUGGAGGAAGAAGGCCUUCGGGUUGUGAACUCCUUUUCUUUGGGAUGACACGCCUCCUUAUGGGGGCUAGGACAGUACCAAAGGAAUAAGCCUCGGCUAACUACGUGCCAGCAGCCGCGGUAAUACGUAGGAGGCGAGCGUUGUCCGGAUUUACUGGGCGUAAAGCGCGCGCAGGCGGCACUCUAAGUACGGUGUGAAAUCUCCCUGCUCAACGGGGAGGGCGCAUUGUAAACUGGGGAGCUAGAGGACGGUAGAGGGGGGUGGAAUUGCUGGUGUAGCGGUGAAAUGCGUAGAGAUCAGCAGGAACACCCGUGGCGAAGGCGGCCCCCUGGGCCGAACCUGACGCUGAGGCGCGAAGGCUAGGGGAGCGAACGGGAUUAGAUACCCCGGUAGUCCUAGCAGUAAACGAUGGCCACUAGGUGUGGGGGGUGUUGACCCCUUCCGUGCCGAAGCUAACGCAUUAAGUGGCCCGCCU